This 491-nucleotide ribosomal RNA is filed under the name uncultured bacterium. Its description in RNAcentral is "bacterial SSU rRNA". It matches the Rfam family "Bacterial small subunit ribosomal RNA", at positions 28 to 507 of the family's 1533-position model. The record is from RNAcentral.
GAUGAACGCUAGCUACAGGCUUAACACAUGCAAGUCGAGGGGAAACGACAUCGAAAGCUUGCUUUUGAUGGGCGUCGACCGGCGCACGGGUGAGUAACGCGUAUCCAACCUGCCCACCACUUGGGGAUAACCUUGCGAAAGUAAGACUAAUACCCGAUGAUAUCCCUAGAAGACAUCUGAAAGGGAUUAAAGAUUUAUCGGUGAUGGAUGGGGAUGCGUCUGAUUAGCUUGUUGGCGGGGUAACGGCCCACCAAGGCAACGAUCAGUAGGGGUUCUGAGAGGAAGGUCCCCCACAUUGGAACUGAGACACGGUCCAAACUCCUACGGGAGGCAGCAGUGAGGAAUAUUGGUCAAUGGGCGAGAGCCUGAACCAGCCAAGUAGCGUGCAGGACGACGGCCCUAUGGGUUGUAAACUGCUUUUAUAAGGGAAUAAAGUGAGUCUCGUGAGGCUUUUGCAUGUACCUUAUGAAUAAGGACCGGCUAAUUCCGUG